This 253-nucleotide ribosomal RNA is filed under the name uncultured prokaryote. Its description in RNAcentral is "partial 16S ribosomal RNA". It matches the Rfam family "Bacterial small subunit ribosomal RNA", at positions 525 to 777 of the family's 1533-position model. The record is from RNAcentral.
ACGAACCGGACAAACGUUAUUCGGAAUUACUGGGCUUAAAGGGUACGUAGGCGGUCCGGUAAGUGGGGUGUGAAAUCCCUCGGCUCAACCGAGGAACUGCGCCCCAUACUGCCGGACUUGAGGGAGACAGAGGUAAGCGGAACUGAUGGUGGAGCGGUGAAAUGCGUUGAUAUCAUCAGGAACACCGGUGGCGAAAGCGGCUUACUGGGUCUCUUCUGACGCUGAGGUACGAAAGCUAGGGGAGCGAACGGGA